AACCCAUGGUGAAUGCAUCUUCUCAAUAAAUCUUUAUACCUCUCCCAUGCAUCAUAUAGAGUAUCUAAAUCCAUUUCCAUGAAGGAAGAGAUAUCUUUCUUUAGCUU
Molecule: non-coding RNA, 107 nt
Organism: Gossypium hirsutum (cotton)
Lineage: Eukaryota; Viridiplantae; Streptophyta; Magnoliopsida; Malvales; Malvaceae
Source: Rfam